ACUAUCAAUCAAAUGACCUAAUAUUAUUGAUUUGAUUUUACAGAAGGAAUUCAGAAGAGUUUAUAGGAACUUGAUUGAAGAAAAGGAAAACUUCCAAGGCUUCAGUUUGACUGAGAGCUACCACAGCAGGAAGAACAAUGAUGUUGUAGAGAAAAUUAGUAAUGAAGCAAUAAGAUUACAUGGUGGCGAGGGACAAUGUUCUUGGACACGUGCCCAAUUACAAGCUGCUGGUGCAUGUUACUAUAAGUCAUUGAAAGAUGCUUUCAAGCGAAAGCAAAAGAGACAAGAUGGAAAACAUCGCCAAAUUUGCAGGAGACAGGGGCGAGUCAGAGAUGUAAGUAA
Molecule: long non-coding RNA, 342 nt
Organism: Exaiptasia diaphana
Lineage: Eukaryota; Metazoa; Cnidaria; Anthozoa; Actiniaria; Aiptasiidae
Exons: 3
Source: RefSeq, a predicted model, not a curated record